RNAcentral lists this ribosomal RNA (253 nucleotides) under uncultured bacterium. Its description in RNAcentral is "partial 16S ribosomal RNA". It matches the Rfam family "Bacterial small subunit ribosomal RNA", at positions 524 to 776 of the family's 1533-position model. The record is from RNAcentral.
UACGGGGGGGGCAAGCGUUGUUCGGAAUUACUGGGCGUAAAGGGCUCGUAGGCGGCCAACUAAGUCGGAUGUGAAAUCCCCAGGCUCAACCUGGGAACUGCAUCCGAUACUGGAUGGCUUGAAUUCGGGAGAGGGAUGCAGAAUUCCAGGUGUAGCGGUGAAAUGCGUAGAUAUCUGGAGGAAUACCGAUGGCGAAGGCAGGUCUCUGGGCCAUAACUGACGCUGAGAAGCGAAAGCAUGGGGAGCGAACAGG